UCGAACGAUGAACUGGAGCUUGCUCCAGGGAUUAGUGGCGAACGGGUGAGUAACACGUGAGUAACCUGCCCUUGACUCUGGGAUAAGCGCUAGAAAUGGCGUCUAAUACCGGAUACRAGCUUCMSCCGCAUGGCUAGGAGUUGGAAAGAAUUUUGGUCAAGGAUGGACUCGCGGCCUAUCAGCUAGUUGGUGAGGUAAUGGCUCACCAAGGCGACSACGGGUAGCCGGCCUGAGAGGGUGACCGGCCACACUGGGACUGAGACACGGCCCASACUCCUACGGGAGGCAGCAGUGGGGAAUAUUGCACAAUGGGCGAAAGCCUGAUGCAGCAACGCCGCGUGAGGGAUGACGGCCUUCGGGUUGUAAACCUCUUUUAGUAGGGAAGAAGCGAAAGUGACGGUACCUGCAGAAAAAGCACCGGCUAACUACGUGCCAGCAGCCGCGGUAAUACGUAGGGUGCAAGCGUUGUCCGGAAUUAUUGGGCGUAAAGAGCUCGUAGGCGGUUUGUCGCGUCUGCUGUGAAAUCUGGGGGCUCAACCCCCAGCCUGCAGUGGGUACGGGCAGACUAGAGUGCGGUAGGGGAGAUUGGAAUUCCUGGUGUAGCGGUGGAAUGCGCAGAUA
Molecule: ribosomal RNA, 621 nt
Filed under: Frigoribacterium sp.
Lineage: Bacteria; Bacillati; Actinomycetota; Actinomycetes; Micrococcales; Microbacteriaceae
Description: bacterial SSU rRNA
Source: RNAcentral